Small nucleolar RNA from Nomascus leucogenys (northern white-cheeked gibbon), 125 nucleotides. The record is from Ensembl. NCBI's taxonomy places the organism in Eukaryota, Metazoa, Chordata, Mammalia, Primates, Hylobatidae.
ACAGACUCACUUUGCACCUGGCUGUAGCCUCAUGGGGGUGCUUUUUCCAUGUGCCAGGGAAACAUUCUGGGGCGUUGUGGCUGCCUGGCCUAUCAAGGGUGAUGCAACUGUCUGGGGAUACAGGA